This is a non-coding RNA of Zootermopsis nevadensis, 1031 nucleotides long. Lineage: Eukaryota; Metazoa; Arthropoda; Insecta; Blattodea; Termopsidae. The record is from RefSeq and is a predicted model, not a curated record.
AUACAAGGUUUUAUGUACAAGCAGCCAAUGGUAGAUAUCCUGUUACCAAAUGUUGUGGUUAAGAAGUUGUUCUUAGAAGGUUCCAGGUUUGAUUUUUGGCCUGUAGGCUAGUUAUCCCUCUGAUAAAAUUAUUAGAUAGUACCUUUCAAUGAGACUUCACAAUUUAAUAAAGCAAUUUUGCUUUUCUUUUGUAUGGGUAUGUAACAUGGCCUCUUUGACGGAUGCUUAUAAAAUACAUGUGUUUUAAAACAAUGUGUUCAGGAAUAUAUUUGAAUUUAAGAAAGGAGUGAUCAGUCUGUGAUGUUGCAUUAGAAGGCACUUACAUGGGUUGUGUAAGUCACCUGGAGGUGUUAUAGUAAUGUAUAAUCUAGGAGGCUUCAGUGUUUUGGAUGUGUAGCUAGGACAGAAUGUUUGAGAAACUUCUUGGAAAAUGACAACUUAGAAGACUGAUAAGAGGAUUGGAGAACAUUAAGACGUUACUCCACUGUAAGUUCAUUCAGCUGCCACGUCGAUAUUGUUGAAUCAGUACAAACGUGAUGGCCUCUGCUGACAAGAUGUUCAUACCUAAGGAAAGAUGGUUUGAAAAUGUGGCAGUAAUCAAAUCUGCAUAGCAAGGUAUGUCCUCAGGUUGUGAACCAAGAUGGCCUCUAAAUAAGUGGAUUGCUUGAAUAUACUGAGUAAGAUGCAGACAAAUGUAGCUGUCUUCUGGGUUGUAGCAUUGUGUAGUCUAGUAGAAGAUUGCCACCUUUUCAGAGGUCCUUGCUACCUCCAUCAUCAGGGUGUUGGGAAAGGGUCAUUGUGGAACAUUUGUAUCCAGAAUUUGAAACAAGUGUAGAAUUAAGGUCAUUUUUCAUAACAUAUUUUGUGUUCUAUAUGCAAUUUCUCUUGGUAUUACCAUCAUUGUGAACUGUGCAGCAGUAGGUUUAAUAUCUUGUUCCUAAAUCCUCUUAGAUGUAUUACUGAUAUGAUAGUUAAAUCAGAUUAUGCAUCAUGUUCUAAUUAUUCUAUAGAAAUAAAUCAUUUUACCAUUU